CACCGAGCCAUUUUUUAUUUCUAGGAAAACACAUCUUGGAUUUGUGUUUAGGAAAACUGUGACAGUACCUGCUGGAGUUCACCGAUCUCAUGGCGUAAAUAAUCCUCUCUUCUGGCAGCCGCUUGCUCUGCACGUUGCAGUGCCAGCCUGAGGUCUCCCACCUGUAUGAGAACCCGUACACACUAGCACAGACGGUAACAAAACAUUACCCGCAACUUCCUACCUGCAUACUGUGUUGUGCGCACUUGCUGUUUAUGUAGAAUACUUCUACUAUCCAAAGAGCUUUUUCACAUGAUAGCACACAUCCCAUUCAUCAAGCAAUUCUAAACUGUAUAUGUACCCAAUAUAUACUCAGAAAACCACUGUUAGGCCAAAAAAAAAGUAUAUAAAUAGGUACAAGGCACAGCCACUGUACAAUACAGAAGGAGAGACAAUGCAUCUAAAAAUAUUCGCAAUGUAAAGCAGAAUGUGAUAGCUAUAAAAGCAAGCUGCUAUUCCUAAUACACAACAGCAGAUGUAAACUGCUACAGUGUUUCUGUAAAACAUUAUGAAGACAUGUUUAAAGGAUCAUAAAAUUUUUCACCUUUUUCACUUGGUCAUCCUAGUCUUGAGAAUUGACUCAACAAAAGCAGAUAUAAAUAUAAAAGAUACUCCCCACUUUGCUGUUAGCUAGACUAGCAAAAAUAGACAAAACAGGAAAUAUUCCACAUAUCCACCAGUAAUCUAUUUUUGCAAAGUUUGAUACAUGAAUAUAAUAUUCCCAUUAAAAAUUAUGAUGAAUGUGGGCGCCGGGGUGGUUCAGUCAGUUAAGCAUCCGACUCUUGAUUCUGGCCCAGGUCAUGAUCUCACAGUUCCAUGAGACUGAGCUUGUGUCAGGCUCUGAGCUGACAGCAUACAUUCUCUCUCCCUCUCUGCCUCUUUCCCACAUACGUGUGUGGGCAUACUCUCUCUCUCUCUCAAAAUAAAUAAACUUAAAAAAAAUUAUGAUGAAUGUGAAGAAUAUGUAAAAAUUUGUAAUUAAAUCUUAAAUGAAACAACUAAUAUAUAUGGUAUCAAUUACUUAAAAAUACAUAGAAAGGUAAGAAGUUAAUACACAAAACUGACGUUACUUAUAAAAGGUGAUAAUUUUAUAAAUAGUACCACCAUAUGCUCUCUGUCUCCCAUUCCCCUACUUUUUGUUAUUAUGCUAGUGUAUAUGCAGAGAUAUAUAGGUAAAUUUAUAGACCUGUAUAUUUUCUUUCAUUUACAAACAGAAACACUGAAAAAACAAACCAAACACUAGUAAAAUGGCUACUUAUAGGCAAAGAAAGGGGACGGGGAGGAGCUAAGUUGGAAGCAAAUGUUGUCUCGAUAUACGGUUAUAUAGUUCUCACUUUGGAAUCAUGUAAAUGUUCUACAUAUUUAUGUAAAAUUAAAUCAAAAUUGCACUGCGCUCAAUGAGGAAAGAAUGAUCUUUUCAAUAAAUGGUCCUGUGACAGCUGGACAUCCAUGUGCAAAAAACCUAAAUGCAAGAGCUAAAACUAUAAAAUUCUUAGAAGGAAACAGGUGAACACCUGCAUGACCUUGGACUAAGCAAUGGUGUCUUAAAUACGAUGCCUGAAGCACAGGCAACAAAAGAAAAAAUAAAGAAGAUGGACUUCACCAAAAUUAAAAAAACCUAUACAUCAAAGGACACUACUGAGAAAAUGAAAGACAACCUAUAAAAUGGGAAAAAAUAUUUGCAAAUCCUACCUUUGAUAAAGACCUAAUAUGCAUAACACAUAAACAACUCUCACAACUCAACAAUUUAAAAAUGAGCAAAGAAUAUGAGUGUUUGAAUAAAUUUCUCCAAAGAAGAUGCAAAAAUAUAUAUAUGGCCAGUAAGCACAUAAAAAGAUGCUCAACAUCAUUAGUCAUUAAGGAAAUAUAAACAAAUACACCACAAUCAGAUACCAUUUCAUACCCACUAAAAAGGCUAUUAAAAAAAAAAAAGAAGGGGCACCUGGAUGGCUCAGUCGGUUAAGCGGCCGACUUCGGCUCAGGUCAUAAUCUCGCGGUCCGUGAGUUCGAGCCCCGCGUCGGGCUCUGUGCUGACAGCUCAGAGCCUGGAGCCUGUUUCAGAUUCUGUGUCUCCCUCUCUCUGACCCUCCCCCGUUCAUGCUCUGUCUCUCUCUGUCUCAAAAAUAAACGUUAAAAAAAAAAUUAUCUUUUAAAAUAAAAAAAAAAAAAGAAGGUAACAAAUACUGGCAAAAGAUAGAAACUAAAACCCUCACAUAUUGCUGAUGAGAAUGUAAAAUGGUGUAGGUGUUGUGGAAAGUCUGGCAGCUCUUCACAAAGUUAUAUAUAGGAUUACCAAACUAACCUAAGGAUAUAUGUCAAAGAGAAUUUUUUUUAAUAAUUUUUUUUAAUGUUUAUUUAUUUUUGAGAAAGAGAGCACAGGGAAUGAAGCCAUCAGAGACAGAGGGAGACACAGAAUCCAAAGCAGGCUUCAGGCUCUGAGCUGUCAGCACAGAGCCCGACACGGGCCUUAAACCCACGAACUGCAAGAUCAUGACCUGAGCCAAAGUCGGACACUUAACCGAAUGAGCCACCCAGGUGCCCUAUGUCUAAGAGAAUUUAAAAUAGAUGUUUACACAAAAAUGUGUACAUGAAUGUUUGUAGUAGUAUUAUUUGUAAUAACCAAAAGUGAAAAUAACCCAAGUAUCCAUCAACUGAUGAUUUUGUAAGACAAAGCCUGACAAAUUUUGGUUUUCCUCCCUUAUCUGAACUGUAUGGACUCCCCCAGUUGUUAUGAAUAAGCUCAGGAGUUAUAUGGAUUCUCCUAAAAUUAUACACAAUGUCUAGUAUUUAUCUGCAUAGGUGCAGUAACACAGUCUGCCUUUCACAAUAUUCUGUAGUAAGUCUGAAAUUCACCAAAAAUAAGCAGUACUAGAAUAAUGUAGGUAUCACUUUAACAAUGGUUUAAAAAAACAUACAAUGUUAAAAAAAAAAUUAAAAAAAAAAAAGGGGGGGGCGCCUGGGUGGCUGUCGGUUAAGCGGCCGACUUCGGCUCAGGUCAUGAUCUCACGGUCCGUGGGUUCAAGCCCCAAGUCCAGCUCUGUGCUGACAGCUCAGAGCCCGGAGCCUGUUUCAGAUUCUGUGUCUCCCUCUUUCUCUGACCCUCCCCUGUUCAUGCUCUCUGUCUCAAAAAUAAAUAAAUGUUAAAAAAAAAAAAUUUUAGGGGCGCCUGGGUGGCGCAGUCGGUUAAGCGUCCGACUUCAGCCAGGUCACGAUCUCGCGGUCCGUGAGUUCGAGCCCCGCGUCAGGCUCUGGGCUGAUGGCUCAGAGCCUGGAGCCUGUUUCCGAUUCUGUGUCUCCCUCUCUCUCUGCCCCUCCCCCGUUCAUGCUCUGUCUCUCUCUGUCCCAAAAAUAAAUAAACGUUGAAAAAAAAAAAAAAUUUUUAAAAAAAUAAAUAAAUAAAAUUUAAAAAAAAAAACCAAAAACCACAAGACUGGCACAAUACAGUAGUCUUAGAAAAAAGUGUCCAACAAGAUUAGAAACAAAAUAUAACACCUGUACCACUACAUAAAGUUUGACUCAAACCAGCUAAUGUAUUCUUUAAUUUGUAAAAGCACAAAGUUUUUAAAGACUAAUUUAAUUAUUAUCUCUUGCUUACUUGAAUCGCUAACGUUUCUUGCUGCUGACGGGCUUCUUCUUGGGCCUUCUCUAGUGCUGCAGAAAGUUCUUCUUUGGCUUUCAUUUCACGACUCAGAGCAGCUUCCUGUGCCUCGCUAUCUUUUGCAGCAUUGGCUUUGUGGAGAUCAGUAAGUUCUCUUAAAAAAUUGGAUUGAUAAUUUUUAUUUAAAAUAGUUAAUUACAUGACCAAGUUAAGGAAGUUUGCAUAUAGAUUUCCCUAGGAGCUACACAAUAAGGGAGAGUUCACCCCAUAAUAAACACUGACCACAGUAAGGACUCUCUGUUGAACUUGCUCUGACCAACUACAAGUCCAUAUAUAGCCAAGUUUAUAAAUAUUGUUAGUGAUCAAAUAACAGAAGAAGUAUUUCUUCAACAUCCUGUUCUGAUAAUUGAUUUUAAAUGAGUUGUAUAUUUGUUCAUUUUCUUACUUGUAUGCACUAUCCAGAGCAGCUUGAAUACUUCGGUUCUUUUCUUCAAGUUCAUCCACGUCUACCUGAAGUCGGCCAAGAUCCUUCUCUUGGCGUUCUACCACAGAAUUUAGUUUUUUAAUGUUUUCUCUAUGUUGUUUCUCAACCUCUUCUUUGCCAUCAAGGACCUAUAAAACAGACAAAAGUAUUUUUCAAUUAAUAACACCAUGGUAAAUAAUUGUAUUCCAGGAAUCUUGAGUGUUACAGUAAUGAAGAAAAAUCUUAACUAUCAUCUAUUAAAUUGCUUGACAAAUUCUUCCCAUGAUAUAUCCCAAUAAAUUAUUCUAAAUGUUUUAUAAACCAUGGCUAAUUGUUCAUACAGGAAGUAAUAACAAUAUAUAUAUUUAGAUAAUAGUUAAUAUUCACCUGUUUUAAAUGUUGCAACUCUUCUUCUAGCUCUUUAACUUUUUUGUUCAGUUUUGCAAUAAUAUUUUCAUUUUCUUUGUCUUUAGCUCUUAAUUUCUUAAUAAUGUUAGAAUUAUGCAGCUGCUGUUUUGAAAGUUUUUCUCCUAGCAAUGGCAAAAAAAAAAAAAAUUUUUCAAAUAAGAUUCCUUAAGAAUCUGGAUAGUGUGCUGGAUCUAACCACUGACAUAAAAUGAUAGAGUAUUUUUAAAAUCACAAUAUUAUAACCAUGAACAUUAAAUUGAUUGGGACAACCAUCAAUAAAUGCUAAAAUUACUAGAUGGAAGGGUGAUAGGUAACAGAAUAUUCUUAGCCUUAAGAAAUCAUUCCCACAGGCAAACCAUAAGAGACUCUUACAUAACAGAGAACAAACUGAGGGUUGCUAGCAGGGAGGUAAAUGGGGGGAAGGGCUAAAUGGGUGAUGGGCAUUAAGGACGGCACUUGGGAUGAGCACUGGGUGUUAUAUGUAAGUAAUGAAUCACUGGGUUCUACUCCUGAAACCAAUACUACAAUGUAUGUUAACUAACUUGAAUUUAAAUAAAUAAUUUUUUUAAAAUUCAUUCCCACAUAUUGCUUACGAAUUACAAAUGGAAAAAUCUACUUGUAAUACAAUGGAGAAAUCUGGCUAUUACCAAUCUUAACCAUUUAGUUAGUCACCAGUGAUCUUUCUUACCAGAAAUUUUAUCUGAAUCUAAUCAUGAGAAGGACAAAUUCCUGAACAUGGGGCGUACUAUAGGAAAACUGGCCUGGAUUCUACAAAGUCUUUAAAGUCAUGAAGAGAGACCUAUCGCUAGACUGAUGAAAGACCAAAAAGACAUAAUGGCCAAAUACAAUACACAAACUUUGACUGGAUCUUGGGGCAGGACAAAUAUCAGGUAUAAAAGUCCUUUUUAGAGACAAUGGGAUGAUGAAAUAUAUGUUGGAGUAUACUUCUGAAUAAAUACUGAUUUUCUUAGGUAUGGUUAUGAUGUUGUGCUUGUGAAGCAAAAUGUACUUGCUACUGGGAAAUGGAGCCUCAUGAAUUUAGGAGCGGACUACAUAUUCAAUGCAAUAUCUAACAAAAGUCCAAUGGCAAAUUUCACAAAGUUUUUUAAAAAUCCUAAAAUUCAUAUGGGACCACAGAAGACCUCAAAUAGCCAAAGGAAUCCUGAGCAAGAACAAAGCUGAAAGUAUCAUAUUUCCUCAUUUUAAGACAUGACACAAAGCUAGAGUUAUCAAAACAGUAUGGUACUAGCAUAAAAACAGUAGACCAGGGGCGCCUGGGUGGCUCGGUCAGUUAAGCAUCCGACUUCGGCUCAGGUCAUGAUCUCACGGUCCGUGAGUUCAAGCCCUGCAUCGGGCUCUGUGCUGACAGCUCAGAGCCUGGAGCCCGUUUUGGAUUCUGUGUCUCCCUCUCUCUCUCUGCCCCUCCCCUGUUCAUGCUCUCUGUCUCAAAAAUAAAUAAACGUUAAAAGAAAGAAAAAAAAAAAAACAAAAACAUAGUAGACCAGCAGAGCAAAACAGCCUAGAAAAUCCACACAGAAUUCAGAAAUACAUUUACAGCCAAGUAAUCUUCAAAAAAGAGACCAAGAACACACUAUGGGGAAAGGGAAGUCUCAUCAAUAAAUUAUACCAGGAAAACUGAAUAAUCAUAGGCAGAAUGAAAUAGGACCACACACCAAAUACAAAAGUCAACUCAAAAUAAACAAUAUACCUGAAAGUGUAAAAUUACUAGGAAAAAAAAAUAGGGAAAAAAAAACUUCUGACAUUGGUAUUGGCAAUGAUUUUUUGGGUAUGGAUUCCAAAAGCAUAGACUACAAAAGCAAAAAUAGACAACUGGGAUUACAUCAAACUAAAAACUACUGCAUAGCAAAGGAAACAAAUCAACAGACUGAAGAGAUAAUCUGCAGAAUGGAGGAAAAUAUUUGCAAGCCAUGUAUCUGAUAAGGGAUUAAUAUCCAAAAUAAACAAAGAACUCCAAUAACUCAACAGCAAAAAAUAAGGCAAUUAAGAAAUGGGUAAAAGAUGUGAGGGGCUCCUGGGUGGCUCAGUCGGUUAAGUGUCUAGCUUCAGCUCAGGUCAUGAUCUCAUGGUUGGUGAGUUCGAGCCCCACUUUGGGUCUGUGCUGACAGCUCAGAGCCUGGAGCAUGCUUUGGAUUCUGUGUCUCCUUCUCUCUCUCUGCCCCUCCCCCACUCACUAUCUCUCACAAAUGAAUAAACAUUAAAAAAAAUUUCUUUUUAAAAAAAAAGAUGUGAAUAGACUUUCUCAAAAGAAGACAAAGAAUGGCCAAUAAGUAUACAAAAAGGUACUCAAUAUCACUCAUCAUCAGAAAAAUGCAUAUCAAAACUAUAUGAGAUAUCACCUCACAACUGUCAGGAUACCUAUUAUCAACAAGACAAAAGAUAAGAAUUGGGAAGGAUGUCGGGGCGCCUGGGUGGCGCAGUUGGUUAAGCGUCCGACUUCAGCCAGGUCACGAUCUCGCGGUCCGUGAGUUCGAGCCCCGCGUCAGGCUCUGGGCUGAUGGCUCAGAGCCUGGAGCCUGUUUCCGAUUCUGUGUCUCCCUCUCUCUCUGCCCCUCCCCAAUUCAUGCUCUGUCUCUCUCUGUCCCAAAAAAUAAAUAAAAAACGUUGAAAAAAAAAUUAAAAAAAAAAAAAAAGAAUUGGGAAGGAUGUAGUGAAAAGGGAACCUUGGUAUAUACUAUUGGCAUAAGUGUAAACUGGUACAGCCAUUAUGGAAAACAGCAUGGAGAUUCCCAAAAAAUUAAAGAUAGAAUUACUAUAUGAUCCAACAGUCCCACUUCUAGGUAUACAUCCAAAGGAAAUAAAAUCAGUACCUCAGAGACAUGUGCAUUUCCAUGGGUACUGCAGCAUUAUUCACAAAAGUCAAGUUAUGCAAAUAACCUAAGUGUCCAUCAAUGGAUAAAUGGAUAAAGAAAAUGUGGUGUGCACCAAAAUGCAAAGAAUUUUAAGAGAAUACUAUGAUGAUUAUAUAUGUGAACUGGACAACCUAGAAAAAAAAUGGAUAAAUUCCUAGAAACAAUCUCCCAGAACUAAAUCAGAAAGAACAAGAAAAUUUGAACAGAUCGAUUACUAGUAACAAAAUUGAAUCAGUAAUCAAGACUCCUCAUCUCAAACAAAAGCCCAGGACCAGAUGGCUUCACAGGUGAAUUCUACCAUUUAAAGAAGAGUUAAUACCUAUUCUUCUCAAACUGGUCCACAAAUAGAAAAAAACUUUUUCAAAUUUAUCCUAUAAGACUAGUAUUGCCCUGACACCAAAACCAAAGACCCUUUAAAAAAAGAAAGACAACGAGAGGCCAAUAUCCCUGGUAAACACAGGUGUAAAAAUACUCAACAAAAUAUUAGCAAACUGAAUUCAACAAUACAUUAAAAGGAUCAUUCACCACGAUCAAGUGAGAUUUAUUCCAAGGACACAAACGUGGUUCAAUAUUUGCAAAUCAAUCAACAUGAAAUAUCACAUUAAUAAAAGGAUAAAAACCAUAAGUCAACUCAAUAGAAGCAGAAAAAGCAUUUUUAUAUAAAAUACUGUAUCUGGGCAUGAUAAAAAUUUCAAAGUGGGCUAGAAGGGAACAUAACGUAAUAAAGGCAACACAGAAAAAAUUCUUAGCUUAACAUCAUAUUUGAUGGUAAAAUACUGCAAGCUUUUCGUCUAAGACCAGGAAGAAGACAAAGAUGUGCACUCUAACCUCUUUAAUAUAAUAUUGUAGUGAAGACCAACUACAGCAAAUGGACAAGAAAAAUAAAUAAAAGGCACCCAAAGUACUAAGGAAGAAGUAAAAUUGUCACUAUUUAGAGAUGAUAUAAUACCAUAGCUAGAAAAGCCUGAAGAUUCCAUCCAAAGAACUAUUAGAAUAAGUGAAUUCAGUAAAACUGCAGGAUACAAAAUAUACAGAAAUCUGUUGCAUUUACAUAUGCUAAUAAUAAAAUAGUAGGAAGUACAAUUAAGAAACAAUCCCAUUUACAAGUGCACCAAUAAAAUAAAAUAAAAAUACUUAGGAAUAAAUUUAACCAAGAAAAUCAAAGACCUAUACUCUGAUACUAAUGAAAAAAAUUGAAAACAACACAAAUGGAGAGAUAUACCAUGCUCAUGAACUGGAAGAAUUAAUAUUGUUAAAAUGUCCAUACUACCCAAAGCAAAUCUACAGAUUCAAUGCAAUCCCUACCAAAAUACCAAGAGCACUUUUCACACAAUUAGAAGCAGUAAGCCUAAAAUUUUCAUGGAAACACAAAGACCCCAAAUAGCCAAAGCAAUCUUGAGAAAGAAAAACAAAGCUUGAAGGUAUCAUAAUCCUAGAUUACAGCUACAGUAAUCAAAAUAGUAGGAUACUGGCACAAAAAAGACACAUAGAUCAAUAAAACAGGAUAGAGAGCCCAGAAAUAAACCCAUACUUAUACAGCCAAAUAACUGAUGACAAAGGAGGCAAGAAUAUAUAAUGGGGAAAAGAUAUUCUUUUCAUUAAGUGGUGUUGGGAAAACUGGACAGCUACAUGAACAAGAAAGAAACCGGACCACUUUCUUACACCAUACACAAAAAUAAAUUCAAAAUGGAUUAAAGACCAAAAUGUGAGAUGUGAAAUUAUAAAACUCUUAAAAGAAAACAUAGGCAGCAGGGCCCCUGGGUGGCUCAGUUGGUUAAGCAUCCGACUUCGGUUAAACAUCCGACUUCAGCUCAAGUCAUGAUCUCAUGGUUCAUGGGUUCGAGUCCCACAUUGGGUUCUGUGCUGACAGCUCAGAGACUGGAGCCUGCUUCGGAUUCUGUGUCUCCUGCUCUCUCUGCCCCUCCCCCGCACGCACACACACACUCCCUACUCUCUCUCUCUCAAAAAUAAACAAACAUUAAAAAAAUUUUUUUUUAAGAAAGAAAACACAGGCAGUAAUCCCCUGAACAUCAGCCUUAGAAUAUAUUUAUGAAUAUGUCUCCUCAGGCAAGAAAAACAAAAGCAAAAAUAAACUAUUGGGACUACAACAAAAUAAAAACCUUUUGUACAGGAAAGGAAACCAUCAACAAAACAAGAAGACAGUCUACUGAAUUGAAGACAUAUUUUAAUUACAUAGCCAAUAAGAGGUGAAUGUCCAAAAUAUAUAAAGAACUCAUACAAUUCAACCCUUCCCCCAAAAGCAAUCUGAUUAAAAAAAUGGAAAAAGGACAUGAAUAAACAUUUUUCCAAAGAAGACAUAUAGAGGGCCAACCGAAACGUAAAAAGGUCACUAACCAUCACUAAUCAUCAUUACUAAUCAUCAGGGAAAUGCAAAUGAAAACCACCAUGAGAUAUUACCUCACACAUCAGAAUGGCUAUUAUCGAAAAGACAAGAAAUUUUAAGUACUAAAAACUCGAGUAACAUGGAGCUUCUCCAAAAAUUUAAAAGCAGAAAUACGAUGUGUUCCAGCAAUCCCCCUACAAGGUAUCUACCCAAAGAAAAAGAAAACACUAAUUCCAAGAAAUAUAAUGCUCUAUGUAUAUUGCAGCAUUAUUUACAACAGCCAAGAUAUGGAAAACAAUCUAAGCAUACAAUGAUAAAUGGACAAAGCAAAUACAGUGUGUGUGGAUAUACACACAUACAUACAAUGGAAUACUACUCAGCCAUAAUAAAGAAUGAGAUCUUGCCGUUUGUGACAACAUAGAUGGACCUAGAAGGUAUUAUGCUAAGUGAAAUAAAUCAGAAAAAGAAAGGGAUAUACCAUAUGAUUUCACUAAUAUGUGGAAUCUAAAACACAAAACAAACAAGAAAAUAAAAACACACUCUUAAAUACAGAAAGAAAAUGGUGGUUGCCAAAGACGACAUGGGGAGAGUGUGAGGGGUGAAAUACGUGAAGAGGAUUAAAAGGUGUAAAUUUCCAGUUAUAAAAUAAGUCACAGGGAUAAAAAUUACAACAUAGUAUAUAUAGUCAAUAAUAUAGUAAUAAUGUUGUAUGGUGACUGUAUUCAUGGUGAGCACUGAAUAAUAUACAGAAUUUUUGAAUCACUAUGCAGCUUGUACCCCUGGAAUAUAACAUUGUAUGCAAUUAUCCUUCAAUAAAAAAUAUUGUAUAUACAAAUGUGUAAUUUAUUUUUGCUAUCUAAAAUUGUGAAUAUUUUCCCAAUUCAUUAAAAAUUCUAAAAAAGAAGGGGUGUCUGGAUGGCUCAGUUGGUUAAACAUCCAACUUCAGCUCUGGUCAUGAUCUCAUGGCUUGUGGGCUCAAGCCCCACAUCGGGUUCUAUGCUGAUAGCUUGGAGCCUGGAGCCUGCUUUAGAUUCUGUGUCUCCCUCUCUCUCUGCUCCUCCCCCACUGUACUCUGUCUCUCUCUCAAAAAUAAAUAAACAUUAAAAAAAUUUAAAAAUUUUUAAAGAAGAAAAAAGUAGCAUGCUAUAUAUUAUUUAGCCUUGAAAAAGGAAAUCCUGCCAUUUGUAAGAACAUGGAUGAACCUGGAGGCUGAAAUAAGUCAGAUUCAGAUACUACAUACAUGAUCUCACUCUGAUGUGGAAUAUAAAAAAGUUGAAUUUAUAGAAGUACAGAGCACAAUGCUAGUUACCAGGGGAAAUAUGGAGAUAAAGGGGACCAAGUUUCAGUUACAGAGGUAAGUUCUUCAGACAUAAUGUAAAAAAUGUAAAAAAAAAAAAAAAAAAAAGUUAAGUACAUGAGGUGAUUGAUAUGUUAAUUAGCUUGACUGUGGUAAACAUUUCACAAUAUAUAUGUUAUCCAAAAAAAAAUCACAUUGUGCACCUUAAAUAUAUACAAUUUUUAUUAGCCAAUUACACCUCAAUAAAACUGAGGAAAAAAAGAAUUUAUGAGUGGACUCAUAUCUGUCACCUACAUUCAAAUGCUUUGGCAAAAGGGAAGUAUAUGUGUGUUGCAGAAAGCUAUGAAUCAGGUGUGCCUAGAUGUUAAUAAAUGACGAAGUGAAGUAAUAAUGUAAUCUGCUAUUUACUGUAGUGUGCUUUCAGCUUUGAGUCUUUCAGCUUUUUAGCUGUGAAUUUAAAAAUACUUCUGGAAGAUACAGAAGCAGUGAAUAAAUGAUCCCAUAUGAAAUCAUUCUAUUUUCAGUAUAAAGAAUUUCAUUAAGCAAAAGAAAACAUCAACCAACCCCCUCAAUAAAUUAAUAAAACCCAAACAGUGACAUCUGAUAGAAAUAAUUUUAUUUUUUUAUUUUUUUAGAGAGAGAGAGAAAACAAGCAGGGGAGGGUGUGGAAGAAAGAGAAUCUUAAGCAGGCUCCAUGAUCAAUAUAGAGCCCGAUGCAGGACUCAAUCCCACAAUCUUAAAAUCAUGACCUGAGCUGAAAUCAAGAGUCCGACACUCAACCAACUGAGCCACCCAAAUGCCCCUUGAUAUAAAUAUUUAAGAUAAUUUUUUAAAAUUAUGAAACCAUGCACACAGCCUUUCCCUCAAUCUCUAGUGCUGUAAUAAAGGCAGUUCAUGACCUCAAGAUGAUUUGACAUAAUGAUUAUGUGAUUUAUCAAUUCUCCAUUUUCUAUUGUAGUGCUUAGACUGUGUUUUACAAUUAUCUGAGUACUUCUAUUUCUUUUUCACUGAACUGUAAGCUCCUAAAGGAUAGGGAGCAUGUCAAAUGUAUUACUACACUAAAUAUAGUAUCUGACACACUGUUAAAUAUUAGCUGAAUAAAUGAAAGAUAAAAACUGGAUAAAACUAAUUUUUUGAAAUGAAGUGACUUUCCAUGUUGUUUACAAGCCCUCUGGAAAUCCUCUUAAGUUCAAUAAGUACAGAAAUGUUCAUCCCACCACUUACAAUAUUAACAUUUUAGAAAUAAAUGCACAAUAUGAGGAAAACAGUAAAAUAAGUAGUGGUAUAUAUAGCCAUAUAAUGGACUUUAAACUUUUUUUUUUUUUUUAAGUGUAUUGGAGGGAGAGAAAGGGGCAGAGAGAGGAGAGAAAGAAUCCCAAGCAGGGUUUGCACUAUCAGUGUGGAACCGGAUACAAGGCUUGAAUUCACAAACUAUGAGAUCAUGACCUGAGCCAAAGUGAAGAGUUGGAUGCUUAACCAACUGAACCACCCAGGUGCCCCUAUAAGGGACUUUAAUACGGCCAUUAAUAAUGCUAGCAAAAUUAUUUAGUAGCAAGAGAAUUGUAAAAGAAGGAAAAUUACAAAUAAAGUAUGUGACCUUAAUUAUGCUUAACAAUGUAUUAAAAAUGCACUAAAAAAGGACUAGAAGAAAUUAACAGUUUCUUGUAAAAGUCGAUUAGGAUGUAUUUUUUCUUCCUACACCUACCAAAACUUCAAAAAUUUCUGCAAGUAGCAAGUCUAAUUUUACAACUAGAAAAAUUUUAAUUAAGAGGAGAAGAGGGGUGCCUGGGUGGCUCUGUAGGUUGAGUCUACAACUCUUGGUUUAGGCUCAGGUCAUGAUCUUGCAGCUUCGUGGGAUGGAGUCACGCAUGGGACUCUGUGCUGGCAGCAUGGAGCCGACUUGGGUUUUGCUUGCACACGCGCUCUCUCUUUCUGCCCCUCCCCCACUUGCACUGUCUCUCUCUCUCUCUCUCUCUCUCUUUCAAAAAUAAAAUACAAAUAUAUAAAUUAAAGAGGAAAAAAAUUCAUUUAAUCCCCUUUUCAAAAACUACCUCUUUCCUAUGAAAUUACAUAAAGAAAUUAGUUCAGUGUCAAUUUGUAAUAACUUAUCUAAUGAAAAAUAUUUAUUUCUAUAACCCUGCUAAUAAGUUUUUUCAUAGAGUACUUAAUAACUGAAAAAUUAAAAUAAGAAUAUAAUGAAAAAUUCACUAUCAAAUGCCCAAAUAAUAUGAUGAUACCAGAGAGUACCCAAGCUAGAGAUUGAGAUACUAUAUAAACUCCAAAAUAAUAACCUCAAAUAUCUUGGUUUAAAUGACAGGCUGUAAAAUCUGUUAAAAACUUUUUUAUGGAAGCACAAACAUUUAUUUUUCAGCAAGUUAUUUUAGCAAGUACGUGUAUGUAGUAUAAAAGGCUACAUGCAAAUGUCUCUGCCUCUAUACAUAUUACUCCCCAGUUUUCCAUAAAUUAUCACCUACCAUUUCUGAGGUUUAAGCACAAAGCCUUCUUGCUUCCAAUGUUUGUUAAUGGGAAGCAGUAGCUAAUCAUGUGGCAAGCAUUUUUCCUGUGUUGACAGUAUUUUUCAUAAUCAACUAAGUAUUUUACAUACCUUCUUCCAUUAACCCUCGGAUCUGCUCAUCUUUCUCUUUCAAAAGUUCUGAAGUUUCACUACUAUUUAAUCUAGUAGCAAGUUCUUCUUUUAUACUUUUGAUUUCCUAAUUAAAAAAAAAAAAAAAGGAAUGUGAAUACCAUAACGAAUUACUUUCAUUCUGGGCAUAUUUUUCAAUUUUUUCCAUAUUCAAAGUCAAUAAUCAAAUUCUCAAUAAAGAUCCUUAAGUUGUAUUGUUAACCUGUGUUUACUACCUCAGUUAAUUAAGUAAACAGCUUUGAAACAACAUAAAAAACCUGAAUUCAGAAAUAAAGAGGUUUUAAUAUGGUAAUACAAGUGAGAAUGAGUUAACUUUCAAUACCUUUCUUUCUUAUCUCUAUACACAUUUUCUUCAGAUCAAGUAUUUUAUUUGGAACAUUUCAAACAAUACAUGUCUCCAUUUUUCAUUUUAUUUCCAUUCCUCAUCUAAAACUUGCUGCACUUGCUAGUGCAUUGUGAAAUGAAUAAAAGCAUGAUUAUAUAAGGUUCAAUCUACUUUAAUAAAGCAGAGAUUCAGCAGAAAUAUGUCAAGACAGUUAUCCUUUAAAACCACAAUGGAGAAGUAUGGUGAUGUGAAAAGUGCUCUAGGAUUUAAAAUUUGGUUUUAAGCAAUGAUCUGAAACAAGAGCUAAAAACAACUAACAUUAGGUAUUUAAACUAUGCUUUGUAUCCAUUAUAAUUUUAUUUUCACAACAAUCCUAUGAAGGAGGUACUUUAUUUAACUACACAAUUAAAGACUGAAUAAACUUUGAAGGUCAGAGACCUACUAAGUGAUGGAGUUUAACUUGAAAACCAGGUUUAUGAGUACCCAAAGCCCAUACACUGAGCCAUCCACAACAUUACUCUGCAUCUUCCAACUGUCAAAACUUGAUUCAUCCAUCAAGGCCCAAUAAGACCAUCCUGCCUUCCAUGAAACUUUCCUCAAUUCCCCUGGUCAGAAUUCAUCCUCUAUGAUACCAUUCCAAACUGCUUAUUCGUCUCGAUCUGUAAUUUACUUCAUUCUGCCUUGUACUAUAUAGGUGUUGACAUUAUCUAUCUUCCAUCACUAGAAAAGCAAACUCUUAAGGUUAAUCCAAUUUGCUUUGAAUUUCCUGUGGAUCCCAACUUCAUAUGAAGUACUAGUACACAUAAAAAAACUUAGAGUCCAAGCUUUUUCCACCUAUAGUUAAUAAUUUGGGUCUAUUUUAGAUCUAUAAUUCAAAUUACAUUACAGAAAAUAAACAUUACAUUACUUAAAAUCUAAUUUCUCAAUUAAACUUGUCCAGAUGGAAUAUAGUAGGGACAAGAAGAGGUAAAUUGGUUAGGUAGUCUGAGGUUAUUGUUAGUGUCUGAAAUGAGCUAGCUAAUUAAAGCAAACAAGCAAAGGAAUUAUAUGACUUAUUUCUCCUCUUUAACAGUGUACCAAAAAAUAAAGAUUAACAUUAACACUGGUCAAGAAGACCAACCUAACUGAGAAGGGCAAAUGCUGAGAGACGUUAUUAAUAAUAGUUUAGAUAGAAUUACUAACCUUAGUUGGUUACCAACUUCUAAAAUACCCAAUUGCUACAAAUUAUAAGAAUUAGAACAAUGGUUCCCAACCAGGAGUGAUCUUGCUCCCAAGGGGACAUUUGGUAAUGUCUGCCAACAUUUUUAAUUAUCACAACUCGAGGAAUGGGGUGGUGGGUGCAGAGUGGGAGAUAGGGAGAUAACGCUGACAGUGGUGUCUUGUAGGUAGGGGCCCAGAUAGUGGUAAACAUCUCACAAUCCAGAGUACAAUCCCAUACAACAUAAAAUUAUGCAGCCCAAAAUGUGAAACGUGCUAAGAAAUCCUAUAUUAGAAUAAAUCAAUGUUUUGUCUCACAAGACUUGCUAACCAUUACAAUAUUUUAUUUUACUUAAAUGUUUGUUUAUUUUGAGAGAGACAGAGAGCAAGCAGGGGAGGAGGAGAGAGAUAGGGAGAAAGAGAAUCUCAAGCAGGCCUCACACCAUCAGUGUGGAGCAGGAUGAGGGGCUUGAACUCACAAUCCUGUGAGAUCAUGACCUGAGCCAAAAUCAGGAGUCAGGCGUUUAACCAACUGCGCCGCUCAAGCGACCCUACAAUUUUUUAUUUUAAAAUCACUCUGACUUGAAAAGGUACAUAUAAUAUGUUUGAAGUGGCUGGAAAGUAACAAAUGAAGGUAAUAAUACUUCAAAAAAAAAUGUAUACAGUGUCAUUUAGAUUUUUUUAAAGUUUAUUUUAUUUAUUUAUUUAGUAUGAGUGGAAGAGGUGGAGGGAGAGAGAGGGGGAGAGAAUCCCAAGCUCAGCAUAGAGCCUCAUGUGGGGCUGGAACUCACAAACCAUGCAAUCAUGACCUGAACAGAAACCAAGAGUCAGAGGCUUAAGCCACCCAGGCGCCCCAAGUGCCAUUUAGAUUUAAUUGUUAUUUAUUUUGACAAAAUUUUCAUUUAUGAAAUUACUCUAAUGAUCCUUGCUAUGUAUCUUACAAGGACUUAUAGAUAAAUUAUACAAAUAUAUGCUUAGUUUUUUUUUAAAGUUUCAAAAAUCUAAGUCUAAAGGUAUUAAAUAAAAGUCUGUAAUUUAAGUGUUAAUAUACUAUAUGGUAUCCUUUUUAUUUUUGAGAAAGAGAGAAAGAGUUGUUUGAGAGAGCACACAAGUCGGGGAGAGGGGCAGAGGGAGAGAAUCUUAAGCAGGCUCCACGCCCAGCACAGGGCCCCACGUGGGGCUCCAUCUGAUGACCCUGAGUUCAUGACCUGAGCUGAAAUCAAGAGUCAGAAGUUCAACCAACUGAGCCACCCAGGCGCCCCUACUGUAUGUAUGGUAAUCCUUUAAUCUUACUUCUCUUUUUUUCCAUACCAAAAUAUUAUGAAUACAUACCUCAAAAUCUAUGUCUGUAUAGAACUUAAGUAAUAUUAUUUUUAAUUUCCAUUACCUUUUUAGCAGCAUCUCUCUCUUUACAGGCUAGCUGAACUUUCUUUUCUGCUUCUGCAAUUCUUUGAGUAAAUUCAUCUUUCAAGGAAGAAAUGCUGCUGCUUUCUUCUUUCACUCUAAACAUUUCACUAAAUUAAAAAUAAUAGAGAGAAGUACUUGUUUACAUGUUCCUAGGGUAACAAGAGGAGUUCAGCUUGCAAAAGGAAAAUAACAUUGUCUUCAACACAUAACUUACUAAAAUUGGUUAGUUUUAUGCCUGUUAACAUUUAAAAGAAAAAUUACAGGCUUAAUUUAUUUUAAAACACCUCAAUGACAACCAAUUAGAAAUCGAAAAUGUCACCCCUAUUUGAUGUAUAAAAAUAACAGUAAAAUUUUUAAAUUUUGAAUCUGUGUUACAUUUUACGAAUCACCUCCUUAAAGGAAACAAAUAUUGUCGGGUUUUUUUUUUUUUGAUAUCAUAGUUUUCUUUAAAUAUAUGUUUUAAUAUCUAAUACUAAAAGGGAAAAGGUUUUUUGUUUUGUUUUGUUUUUGCAAAACACCUCUCUUCAAAUGCCAAAGGUAAUAUGGUACAGAUAAUUUGAGGAAAAAAUCUCUACAUUUAUAACUGAAAUGCUAUUCCAUUUUCAAUUAUUGUAAACAAGUUAAAUUUUAGACAUUUUAGUUUAAAAAAAUUCUUAAAUAAUAACCAUUUGGGCCUCUACAAAACAUACAAUUAUUCACAUUUGUAAAAUACUUACUCUUUCAGAUUAUCAUAGGCUUCUUCUAGAAGUGCUUUUUCUUUACUAAGAGAUAAUAACUGAGCCUCCCUUUUAUCCAGUUUCUCAUUCAGAAAUUCGACUCUCUGAAUAAGAAGAAUACACAAAGUCAAACAUUUAACUGAAAAGACCAUUUUUACAUGCAGGUGAUGAAUUGUAAAGGUAAUCUAAUCAAUAUAGUAACUAAAACAGCAUUACCUCAUAAAAAGACUUAGCAACAAUGAGAACAUAGUGGAUUCAGAAUAAGAACUCAUACAUAGCUGGUAGAAGAGUAUAAAUCAGUACAACCACAUAGUUGGUGGGAGUAUAAAUUAGUAAACCACUUUAAUAUCUAGUUGAAAAUCUACACACCAUUGAAUGCAGAAAAUUAUUUUAGAUAUACUUUAGAGGAGAAAACUCCUGCAUUACUAUACAAGGAUAUUUACAACAGUUUGUUAUAGCAAAAUCUAAAAAAAAGGUGUGCAUGUCCAACAAAAGCGGAAUGGAGACAAAGAAAAUUUUUAAAAAGAUCACAGGGGCUUCAAAGCCUUUAGUAAUAUCCUGUAUCUUCGCUGGGUAGUCGAUACGCAAGUGUCCCUUUUUCCAUAUUAUUCUUUAAUCCAAAUAUGUAGCAUGUAACUAUUUUUAGUAUGAUACAUUGCAUUCAAAAAAUAAAAACAUUUAAAAAAAAAACUCAUAUGCAUGUAACUUUAAAAUCUCCAGGAUGUAUCAGUGUAAAGCUAAACAAAAAGGAAUGAUAACAGUAUCUUACUCCUUAGGCCUUGCUGAAGCAGUGAAAAACUUGUGUAUGAGGGGAGGAAUGAUGCUGUUUGCACUUAAAAAAAAAAAAGUCUUACCUGAUUGAGGUUUAGAUUAAUUUAGAGAUCACUUACCUUCUGAAAGUAGCUCAAAAAUAUCUUAUUGAUACGAAACAGUGCUGAUUUCAGCAAUUCAAAGUGCUAUUAUAGCUAUAGCAUGGCAUUUUUGUGUGUGUGAAUAGUAUUAAACCUAGGUAACAGAAUCUGGAACUUUUUUUUUUUUUUACAUUAAAUAAUUCAAUACAUGGCACUUACAGGACAUUUCUUCAAGACAUCCUAUAUCUCAGAGGAGUCUAUUAAAGAUGCCAAAUCCAACUCAAUUUCUAUAUCUAAAAAUCAUAGGAAAAAUCAAAACCGUGACUUAAUGUUAAAGAAUUUACACCACUUUCCUUUUAUAUGUAUUAGAUAGAAGCAAUUUGUCAUUCCUAAGCAAUGCCUUUGUUCCUUGGACAUUUCCCAUUCUUACGCAUGUUAAGAGAGCUAGCAGGGAAACAUCAAAAUAACAUAAAAGAGAAAACAAACAAGUAAUUAAUAACAACAGAAACACAUCAAUAAUUAAAGACUAAAUUUUUCAUUUAGGAUUUUCUACAAAUAAUGUGAACAUGCAAAACAAAUUCUGAUAUAAAAAACCCAUAUAGUGUUUAUAUUCGUUUCAGCACCUUUACCUGCAAAGGCUUUGAAGACGUAUGUUACCAUAAGCCAAUCCUUUGCAAAAAGACAAAUGAGCACAGCAUACAAGAACUGUAAGGUGAAAGGACUCAAAAGUAAUGACACGAGAUAACCUUUUCAUUCUUAGUUAUGCUGAAAUAUCAACUUAUGUUAUCACAGAUGUCUCAGAGGAAUUUCAAGUAAUUUAAUAUCAAUAAUUCAAUUUUAAAAUCCUUAAUGCCACACCUAAAGGCCAAAAUGCUCGUUUUUUUUAAUCAGCACAAAUCAUUAUGCAACAUGGAAUGUUAAAAAUAAACAAUGAAAAUAUAAAUAAAUAAACAAUGAUUUCAUUUCUGAAAAGCAUAUCCAAAAAUCCCCUUGCAGUUUCUAGAUUUACCUUGCAAACAUCUUCCUUCUCAGAAUGUGCUUCUGGCUUACUUUCAGCAGUUUCGUGCGGCUCGGCCACUUUGUCUGAGACAGUAUGUCCUUCACUUACUGGUGUAGAAGAAACCAAGAUAUCAGGCUGUUCACAAUUAACAGGUGUUGCACUUCGUCCACUUUCUUCCAUUUCCGUUUCUUCAGUGGGUAUAAUUAAUGUUUCAUUUACUUCUUCUUCAGAUUUUCCUUCAACAGAUACAAUUACUUUAGUCUUUGGAGUUGAAGGAUUAACUAUAAUAGGUACUAAAGCAUAUCCCUUGCCUGACAGUUCAUCAUCUGAAUUGAUUUCACUUACACUACGACUAUCUAAUGACUGCACACUAAACGAGUCUAUUCUUUCAAAAGCAUCAGAUGAACAGCAACUCUCAGUGAGUUUCUGGAAAUCAUCUAAACGAUUAUAUUCAGGACAAGCAGAUGCUGAGAGAAGCUGAAAAGAUGUCUGCAUCAAGUGAAGACUUGAUUUUGAAUCUGUAGUCUCUUGUCUUGAACUUGCUGAGCUCUCACUUAUUACACUUUCAUGAUCUAAGACUUCAAUGUCACUGGUGGUAGAAGUACCAGACGAGAAGGUACUAACUGGAGGAGAAGGUGUGUUAGUCUGUCUGUCUUCAUGUUUUUGUUCCUUAGGUUCCAAAGCCACAUCCUUUGUUUCUGCAGUCGACAUAUUAGGUAUGUUUUCCCUAGUUGUUUUCACAUUAAUUACAUUUUCGGAUACCUUCAAACGUACAGUUGAUACCUUCGUAUCAGACUCUUUAUUAACAGUUUCUUCAUGCUUGCCCUCAGUUUUUGGCGACGGAGUAUCUACUGCCAGAGUUUCCCCUGAUACACACGGAGUAGAGUCUUUCACUUUUGACUCAGUUGUUUCCGAGGUUCUUGACUGUCCAGUGGGCAAGGAUUCCUGUAAAGUGCUUUUUACUUCUUCUUCUGGUCGUUGUGAUUUAGCUGGUGGUUUUGAUACCACUGGACUCUUCUGAAUGGUCUGGACGUCCGUUGGAGAGAGAAAGGCACUGAAGAAAUUUUCAGAUUCAUCUACCACAGUUCUCCGAACUGGCUUUGUUAUUGCUUUAGGAGAGGCUACAGGCUGACUCUGAGGUUCACUGUUUGAUUUUAACCCCCAGGUUGAAGUAUCCCAUCCUCCACUGACAGGGAGACUUAUUCCU
This 20366-nucleotide long non-coding RNA is filed under the name Lynx pardinus (Iberian lynx). Lineage: Eukaryota; Metazoa; Chordata; Mammalia; Carnivora; Felidae. The record is from RNAcentral.